UGGAGUGCGCGUCUAUACAUGCAGUCGAGCGGACAGAUGGGAGCUUGCUCCCUGAUGUUAGCGGCGGACGGGUGAGUAACACGUGGGUAACCUGCCUGUAAGACUGGGAUAACUCCGGGAAACCGGGGCUAAUACCGGAUGGUUGUUUGAACCGCAUGGUUCAAACAUAAAAGGUGGCUUCGGCUACCACUUACAGAUGGACCCGCGGCGCAUUAGCUAGUUGGUGAGGUAAUGGCUCACCAAGGCAACGAUGCGUAGCCGACCUGAGAGGGUGAUCGGCCACACUGGGACUGAGACACGGCCCAGACUCCUACGGGAGGCAGCAGUAGGGAAUCUUCCGCAAUGGACGAAAGUCUGACGGAGCAACGCCGCGUGAGUGAUGAAGGUUUUCGGAUCGUAAAGCUCUGUUGUUAGGGAAGAACAAGUACCGUUCGAAUAGGGCGGUACCUUGACGGUACCUAACCAGAAAGCCACGGCUAACUACGUGCCAGCAGCCGCGGUAAUACGUAGGUGGCAAGCGUUGUCCGGAAUUAUUGGGCGUAAAGGGCUCGCAGGCGGUUUCUUAAGUCUGAUGUGAAAGCCCCCGGCUCAACCGGGGAGGGUCAUUGGAAACUGGGGAACUUGAGUGCAGAAGAGGAGAGUGGAAUUCCACGUGUAGCGGUGAAAUGCGUAGAGAUGUGGAGGAACACCAGUGGCGAAGGCGACUCUCUGGUCUGUAACUGACGCUGAGGAGCGAAAGCGUGGGGAGCGAACAGGAUUAGAUACCCUGGUAGUCCACGCCGUAAACGAUGAGUGCUAAGUGUUAUGGGGUUUCCGCCCCUUAGUGCUGCAGCUAACGCAUUAAGCACUCCGCCUGGGGAGUACGGUCGCAAGACUGAAACUCAAAGGAAUUGACGGGGCCCGCACAGCGGUGGAGCAUGUGGUUUAUUCGAAGCAACGCGAAGAACCUUACCAGUCUGACAUCCUUCUGACAAUCUAGAGAUAGGACGUCCCUUCGGGCAGAUGACAGUGUGCAUGUGUCGUCAGCUCGUGUCUGAAAUGUGGGUAAGUCACGCACAGCCCCACCCUGACCUAGUGUCAGCAAUCAGUUGGUAU
This 1095-nucleotide ribosomal RNA is filed under the name Bacillus subtilis. RNAcentral's name for it is "bacterial SSU rRNA". It matches the Rfam family "Bacterial small subunit ribosomal RNA", at positions 40 to 1131 of the family's 1533-position model. Lineage: Bacteria; Bacillati; Bacillota; Bacilli; Caryophanales; Bacillaceae. The record is from RNAcentral.